Long non-coding RNA from Bos indicus x Bos taurus (hybrid cattle), 519 nucleotides. The record is from Ensembl. NCBI's taxonomy places the organism in Eukaryota, Metazoa, Chordata, Mammalia, Artiodactyla, Bovidae.
AGGCUCUCCCAGGAAUGCUACACAAGUCUUCAGUCUUGAGUGUGAGGAGUCUUACGGGAAGAAGAUAGAGGAAUGUGGCUGAAGAUGCCAACCUGGUCCUGGUGCUGGAGAUCCCUCUCGCUACUGCCAAAAAUUUCAAAUAAUGGAUCAAGAAGAGGCCCAUGAAGACUUUGACUUACCUGGAUCUGUAUGACCCCUAAUCCUGUGGUUAGUGUGGUUUGUAGCAAUACGGCCAGCAGAGAGAACCGGCAGACAGUCAUCAUGAAGAAGGCCAGAGCUCACGAGGAAGGCCCCAGCACUCAUCUGCUGCCUCCUCCAUGGUUAAUCAAUGCCAUGGACCGCAAGUCGUGGACCUGCCUUAGAGAAUUUGGUCUGUUAGAACAAGCUGGACGAUGCAGAGCAGACAGUGAGGGGGUUGUGGGCAGAGCUCUUGCAUUCAUGUUUCCCACUGUGUGCCUGAUGCGCAGCACUUUGGCAGGUACUGGCCCAGAAGCCCACAGUUCUAGAAGAGGAAUCUAA